This 429-nucleotide ribosomal RNA is filed under the name Chloroflexota bacterium. RNAcentral's name for it is "Chloroflexi bacterium partial 16S ribosomal RNA". It matches the Rfam family "Bacterial small subunit ribosomal RNA", at positions 355 to 776 of the family's 1533-position model. The record is from RNAcentral. Lineage: Bacteria; Bacillati; Chloroflexota.
UGGGGAAUAUUGCACAAUGGGCGCAAGCCUGAUGCAGCCAUGCCGCGUGUAUGAAGAAGGCCUUCGGGUUGUAAAGCACUUUCAGCGGGGAGGAAGGCGUUAAGGUUAAUAACCUUGGCGAUUGACGUUACCCGCAGAAGAAGCACCGGCUAACUCCGUGCCAGCAGCCGCGGUAAUACGGAGGGUGCAAGCGUUAAUCGGAAUUACUGGGCGUAAAGCGCACGCAGGCGGUCUGUCAAGUCGGAUGUGAAAUCCCCGGGCUCAACCUGGGAACUGCAUUCGAAACUGGCAGGCUAGAGUCUUGUAGAGGGGGGUAGAAGUCCAGGUGUAGCGGUGAAAUGCGUAGAGAUCUGGAGGAAUACCGGUGGCGGAGGCGGCCCCCUGGACAAAGACUGACGCUCAGGUGCGAAAGCGUGGGGAGCAAACAGG